RNAcentral lists this ribosomal RNA (301 nucleotides) under uncultured bacterium. RNAcentral's name for it is "partial 16S ribosomal RNA". It matches the Rfam family "Bacterial small subunit ribosomal RNA", at positions 509 to 808 of the family's 1533-position model. The record is from RNAcentral.
CAGUCGCCACGGUAAUACGAAGGGUGCAAGCGUUACUCGGAAUUACUGGGCGUAAAGCGUGCGUAGGUGGUGGUUUAAGUCCGUUGUGAAAGCCCUGGGCUCAACCUGGGAAUUGCAGUGGAUACUGGGUCACUAGAGUGUGGUAGAGGAUAGUGGAAUUUCCGGUGUAGCAGUGAAAUGCGUAGAGAUCGGAAGGAACAUCUGUGGCGAAGGCGACUAUCUGGGCCAACACUGACACUGAGGCACGAAAGCGUGGGGAGCAAACAGGAUUAGAUACCCCUGUAGUCCCUGUCUCUUUACC